CGUGUACCGUGUGUGUGUAUGUGUGUGUUUGUGUGUGUGUGUUUGUGUGUGUGUGUGUGUGUGUCUGAGAUAGGUUUCGAGAUAAGAGGGAGAACAAAAAUAGCGAGCGAAGUAAGAGAAAUAGAAAAGAUAAAAGU
This is a long non-coding RNA of Octopus sinensis (East Asian common octopus), 137 nucleotides long. RefSeq lists it as uncharacterized. Lineage: Eukaryota; Metazoa; Mollusca; Cephalopoda; Octopoda; Octopodidae. The record is from RefSeq and is a predicted model, not a curated record. The transcript is spliced from 3 exons.